UUCAAGCCAGAAAGAGAGCCCUCACCAGACACGAAAUCCACUGACACUUUGAUCUUAAGCUUGUAACCUUCAGAACAGUGCUACUGAAAUGCCAGGGGUUUGGUCUAGGUCCUGCUGCUUGCUGCACAGAAAGCCAAUCACUGAGACAACAAUUAUUACCAAGGAAGAAGGUUUUAAUUGGGUGCUGCAGCUGAGGAGAUGGGAGAUCAGUCUCAAAUCCAUCUCCCUUACCCAGUAAAAUUAGGGGUUUAUAUAUCAGCACAGAAAAGUAACAGUGUGUAGGAAAAAAGGAACUCAGGAGGGGUAAGGAAGCAAUCGUGAUGAAUGAGGGGCCUGGUGUCUCAUUGUCCAGAUGCCAUGAUCUGUUGAGCUUCAGUUCUUUCAUACUUUUGGAGAUGCCUGGGGGUCCUUUUCUGAGGAAGAAACUCAGAAAAAACAAGUCCUUAACUGUGCUUCCUGGAAUCAUCUCCCAGAUAAACUAUGUGUACCAGAGUUUCUGUCUCUGGGUUGGCUUUGAAGGAGUCCAAACUAAGAGAUUGUUUUGGGUUGCCACAAUUUGUAACAAACACACUAUUUGUGAAGUACAAUAAGCAGAGCACAAGAAAACAAGAUAUGCCUGUAAUCCUGUGAUGUGCAAUAAAAUCAGGAGCAUCACAAGGGGUUUAUAUUCUGCAAACCACAUCUGGAAACAGCAAUCUUGUCCACUUGGAGUGAAUUAAUGGUAGAGUCAAGGCUUCCUAACCCAUGGGCUUUCCGCCUUCAUUCUUGCUACUCAAAGUGUGGCCCGUGGACCAUCAGCCUGGCCAUCACCUGGGAAUUGGUUAGAGGUGCAGAAUCUCGGACCCCACCCUGGACCUACUGAAUCAGAAUCUGCAUGUUAACGAGAUCCCAGGUGGCAGUAUGUGACUUUCAUCCUCAUGACUACAAGAUGGUUGCUGUGCCUCCAGGAGUUGUGAUCAUGCCCCCAGCAGAAAGAAGGAGGAAGGAGGAAAGAAGAGAAGGUGCCAGUAUUGAAAAAAAACAACAACAAAAAACAGAAGUUUUCCUCAGAAAUCCCUGAUAGACUUCUGCUUUUGUCUCAGUGGCCAGAGUUGGGCCAUAUGACUGCUCCUUUAUAUGAAGGUCUGGGAAAAUAAAUGUUUCCAGCU
This 1148-nucleotide long non-coding RNA is filed under the name Homo sapiens (human). RNAcentral describes it as "HSALNT0213595". The record is from RNAcentral. Lineage: Eukaryota; Metazoa; Chordata; Mammalia; Primates; Hominidae.